CUGAAGACCCCUAAGGUCUUCUUCUUCACUUACACGCAACAGCAGCCAUACACGACCUUCAGCCACCCGAGUAGCAGCCAUCUUCAGCGAAAGAGGAAGGGACCUCCAUCAACGAAUAACAGCUACGCCAGACAGCCCUCCGCCAUCUUCUCCACAUCCCAACCAGACCUGAAUGACACCCGGCAGCUGAACCCAACAGCCAUUCCAGUCGCUACUGCGUCAUCUCCCAGUCUUCAUCUUCUCGAACACACCCCGUCCCCAUCAGUUCUGUUCCUUUUAUUCAACCACACGACCCCUUCACAAGUCGUCUUCUUCAACCAGUAACAGCUGAAGCUCUUCGUCUUCCUUGAACCAAAUGGGCGAACCCUAGAGACCAAGUAACACCAUUGACGACCAAAAAGACCUCCCGUUCUGCUUUCGUCUUCAAGUUCUAAACACAAGGCCCAAAACCGAUGGCUGCUUCUUAACAGAGACCUAGAACCCAAAGCUCGAUCCCAACCAUUUCCUUGGAGAUAUUGGAGCCUGCUUGUUCACUGAAACAAGAAGCUUCAUCCGCUAGGAGCUCGAUCUGAAACCAUUUCCUUAGCCGCUGAAUGACUCUUUAAGUUCGAGUCCGUAAGCAAAGAUCGGUUUCCCCGGCAACAUUUAAGGUCUGUUUAUGGUCGCCGGCGAGGUCCAGCUUGAGUUCUGGCAAGUUUGAGUGUGUCGUCGUUCAUUGGCUUCCGUCCGAGGUUCUGUUUCUUUCUUCGUAAGAUAUCUGCUGUUUUUUGUUUCCAUGUCAAAGUUUAUCAACCCAUGAAUGUUUUCAAUUGCAAUAAUGUGGUUGAAUUUAGCUUUAUUGAUUUUAUGAAACAUAUAGUUUGCCUUUGAAUUAUGAGCAUGUGGCACUAAUUUAUUGAUUAUUGAUUUUUGUUUUUCUGAAAGUUGAAUUUAAAAUCAGUGAAUACUAGUGUUACGCCUUGGUUUUUUUUUAAUUUGAAUUAAUAGAAGUGGGUUAAUAGUGGCAUGAUUGGUUAGUGGCUAUGGGUACUGUUCCCGUGGCAUGAUUACGAUAUGUGAAUCUCAAUUCGGGGGGUGCAUUUCAUGUAACCCGAUUAUAACAACUUCGAAUAAUAAAAUCCUUUGAAAUUAGAAAUCGAGGCAUGCCAGAUUUCCAUGGCCCUCGCAAAGUCGCAUAGCUUCUUAUCACAGAAAAUACCUUUGAUCCGUUCUCAUGAAGAGUUUUCAGAUAAAGAAUGACUAGACAGGUUUUUUGACCCGACCCUUAUUUGGAGAGAUUAAAACUAAGAGAAAAUGGGAAUGUGACCGAGCCCUGGUAUCUGAGCUGCCUACAUAUCCUUGACUGGCCAUCCGGAUUGGUAACUUGUCUGAGCCUUUUUCUUAUUUCAAGGUAUGACACUAACAGAAUAUGGAGUCUCGACCAGCGAGCACAUCCCCGAAGAUGAGAAGAGAAGGGUUUCGUAACAGUUUAUAUACAGUUCAGAUAAUAUCAAAGCGGUAAAAAGCAUCACCUACCACAUUAGGCCCAAACAUGUGAAUAAAAUCAGAUAAUAAAUAAAUCCACAUACAACAAUUAUUGUAAGCUCGAAUUCUGAACCCUGAACCAGAGAUUCUAGGUUCUUCUCCCCAGCAGAGUCUCCAGAGCUGUCACACCUCCUUUUUCACUACACCCCGGAAGGGUGUAUAUAAGGGAGUUUUUUCAAACUUAAAGUGAAUCGAAACGGGCUCAUUUUAUUAAAAAUUCAGAGUCACCACUUAGGAUAAUUUAUGGUGUCCCAAGUCACCGGUUUAGAAUCCCGAAUUGAGGAAAAGAUUGACUCUGUUUAACAGUCCGCGAACAUAAAAAUCCGGGUAAGGAAUUCUGUUAACCCGGGAGAAGGUGUUAGGCAUUCCCGAGUUCUGUGGUUCUAGCACGGUCGCUGAACUGUUAUAUUCAGCUUAAUUAUCUGAUUUUAAGCAAUUAUGAACCUAUGUGCAAAUUUUAGUUUUAACCUCUUUUAAUUAAUUUUUAAAGAAGAUUGAACGUCGUUUAAAACGUGUCUUUGGAUCGCGCCACAUGAAAUGCACCCGCAAUCCUAAACACAUUUUAGUUAAUGUUUUAAGAUUUUGAUUUGUGUCACAUGAAAUGCACACCCGAAUUUAGGAAGGUAAUGUUAUUUAACGACGUGCCUAAAGCAGCUACGCGUUUUUAACUUUGCGAGGGCCAUGGAAAUCGGUCCUUAUGGUCUUUUUUAUUUGUUUUUGUUCCAAAGAAGAGUCUAGAAGAGUCUAGAAGGGUCCCUAGGCUUAAUGGACUAAUCCGAAUUGUGCCAAGAAUUGGGCUCUAAAACUCUUAAAAUUGUGAUCCAACACCUUAAUUGACUCCUUUUAAAAUAAGAUAAAAAUACUGACACAAUCCAAAAGCUAACAUGAAACUAUUACGUAUUUUUGUAUUUUCAAGAUUAUGUUAAGAUAAAAAUAAGUUACUAUUUUUGUAUAUAUAUUUUUUAUUUAAAUUUAUGAAAGAUACAUAAGCUAAAAUAUUUUUUUGUAAUUUUCCAUUUUCAUGACGAAAAUAAAGUAAAGAAGUCAAAAAUAGUUGAAAUAGCUAUAUUAGGCCUAAAUUAAAUAUUUAUAUGCUAAAAUAUGAAAAAACUCGGGGAGGGUAAAAAAUCACAUGUCUACACAUACCUUUGUCGAAUUCUCACCAUGCACCACAUUAUCCACAUGACCAUAAUAACAUUCUCUGAUCAUAAUAACCAACAUUCCCCGAAUUUGAUGCUCACAAUGCACCUCAUGAUAUAUAUAAGUCUUGUUCCAACUCUCGCAAUACUGCCACGACAGAAGAGAUGUGUAGAAAUUUAUAACCAACUGCCAAGUCAACAAAUCAUUGUGUCUAUACUUCUGACAAGAACCAUUACCUCAUUCUGAACCAAAUAAUGAUCUUUGCUCUUUAAUAUACUUCAUAUAAUCCGACUGCACUGAUCCUAGAUCCAAUAAUCUCGUCUCACCCAUUACGAACUGCUCAGGCAAUAAGCCACCCCAGUCAUGAUCAAAAGUCCCAUAUGAUGCCGUAACGUGCCAAUAAGCUGCAAGCUCGAACGUGAUACAUAAAAAAAAUGAACUCAGGAAGGGACUACUCAACUCAUGGGGCUAAUAUGAAUUUCCUCAGAAAAUGGGAAAUAAAACACAUAAAAGCAGGUAUAGGGAACUGUACUCAGCAUCACACUGUUGCGGCGUGCAACCCGAUCCAAACAACAUGCCCAUGGUGGCAUGCCACCCGAUCCACACAUAAAAUUCACAUAAGGAGAUACACACCGAGCUAAAUUGCUGAUUACAACAAAAUACCGAAGAUCAAUCACAAGCACACUAAGUGCAUAAUACCAUCCCUGGGGAGACAUAUAACGUCAUAGGCUAACAAACUCAAGCACAACUGAGCUGCGAUAUAUGUUCUGAAACUAAAGAGCCAUCCUGCUCACAUAACACCAUCGCUACNNNNNNNNNNNNNNNNNNNNNNNNNCACAACUCACACGGCACAAUAUAAUAUUACAUGAAAUAGACUAUGACGAAAUAACAUCCCAUGUCUGAAUACUCCUUCAUAAGGAGCGCUAUGCUAAAAUGAAUACAUCCGGCCUGAUAUAGAGCCCAUAUUCAUACUUAAAUACAUUCACAGACCUUAAACCGAUUCUAAUCAUACCAAACUAGGUCUAUAAUCUUUCCUGGGUCCAUAAUAACCCCCCUUUUCCCAUAACACACAAGAACAACCAUCAUAACCAGAGUAAUCCUCCACAGUCCACAACCCAAUAAAUCGAGUGCCCUCCAGGCAUCAAUCUUGAUACUUGGUUUAAUUCUUCAAUCAAUCAAGUGACUACAUGCCAAACUUAUACAACCUUCCCGUGGGGCACGCUCCUACGACCUUCCAUAAUAGAUAACAAGUCUGUACAUCCAUACCACCGACCGCACUAACGCUGAAAAUAGAUUAAUAAUCUUUAACCAGGAUGUAAAGUGUGAUGACCCAAGAGGUCAUCACUUGUUUUUAAAAUGAAUUCUGCAUUCCAAGGCUUUAAAAACCUCUUUUAGCAUCACCUCGAUUUGCAUGCGCAGUCCGGGUGCGUAGCCAAAAAGCUUAUAUGUGAAAAUCUGUGAAAAAUGAUAAGUUUUGACUAUAAAAUGAAUUAAUUUGACUUUGGUCAACGUUUUGGGUAAACGUACCCGGACCCGUAAUUUGACGGUCCCGGAGGGUUUGUAGGAAAAUAUGGGAUCUGGGCGUACGCCCGGAAUCGAAUUCCGAAGUCCCAAGCCCGAGAAAUGAAUUUUCAAAGAAAAUUAUUUUCUGAAAUUGUUUAAAGGAUUUGGAAAUGAAUUUUGAUUAGAACAUGUUGGUAUCGGGUCUGUAUUUUAGUUCCGGCACAUGGUACAAGUCUUAUAUAUGAUUUAAGAUAAUUCUAUGAAGUUUGGUAAGAAACGGAUAUCAUUUGACGUGAUUCGGACCUUAAAUGCAAAAUUUGGUGUUUUAAGAAGUUUUGAAAUAUUUCAUUGAUUUUGAGGUUUAAUUCAUUAUUUAAGGGGUUAUUUUGGUAAUUUGAUCACACGGAUAAGUUUAUAUGAUGUUUUGAGUUAGUACGUAUGUUUGGUUUGGAGCCCCGAAGGCUCGGGUGAGUUUCGGAAGGUUUUUGAACUCAUAAAAGUUGCAGGUUUUUCAGUUCUGGUGUGCUGGUAUUUUCUUCUUCACGUUCGCGGGAGGACCCUCACGAACGUGAUGAGUUAUUCACGACGAAGGAAAUUUCUUUCUACGUGAUCGCAUGACCCAGGUCGUGAACACGAAGGCGUUUGGGGGGGGGGGGGGUCUUCCCUUCCCGAACGAGGGCCUGGUAACACGAACGCGAAGGUUUAUGAGGCUGGGCAGGAAGAGGGAUAUUAUACCCUAUGCGAACGCGAACUCCUAGCCGCGAACGCGAUGGCUCGAGGAGUUAAUGCUCCACGAACGCGAGUCCGUUUACGCGAAUGCGAAGGUCUCUCAGGCCUAGCUCAUUGUGAACGCGAUGAGCCUGUCGCGAACACGAAGACCAAAUUCGCCCAGUUAUUUUAAGUUCCAAAAAUAGAAUACAUUACGGGAUUUCCACCAUUUUUCAUAAACUUCAUCUUCUCCACACCUCUUUGGCAAUUUUUGAAGAGGAACUUCACCAUAGCUUCAUAGGUAUGUAAUCCUAAGCUCAUUUUCUUCCAUUUCUUAUCAACACCCACUAGAGUUCUAGGCCUAAAACAUGAGAUUAAGGGUAGAAAAUUAGGGUUUGCACGCCGUAAUAAUAUUAUAUGUAGAUCGGGUUGCACGCCGCAACAAUGUUAUAUUGGAUUGGGUUUCACACCGCAAUAAUAUUAUAUGUGGAUCGGGUUGCAUGCCGCAUCAAUGUUAUACUGGAUCGGGUUGCACACUGCAACAAUGUUAAGGGUGGAUCGGGUUGCACGCCGCAACAAUGAUAUAUGUGGAUCAGGUUGCACGCCGCAACAAUGACAAAUUAUAUGGAUCAGGGUGCAUGCCUCAACAACGUUGUUAUAUAUUGUGGUCGGGUUGCUAGCCGCAACAAUUAUUGAUACAAGUGUGCUUAGUUUGGAUAUUAGUUUCUUUUGUUUUGUUGUGGACUCUAAGCUGCCCUUAAACUGUUACUCUGGAUUUACUGUUAAUACUGGUAUACCCCCGCAACAUGUUUCCCCCUUCCAUCUUUACUUGCUUAUUCCUGCUUUACUUUUUGUUGUAUAUUAUAUAACUGCGCAGGUUUAUUUGGUAGUCUGGUCCUAGCCUUGUCACUACUUCGCCGAGGUUAGGCUAGGCACUUACCGGCAUAUGGGGUCAGUUGUGCUGAUACUACACUCUGCACUCUUUUGUGUAGACCCCAGUGUUGUAGACUUCGGACCGCAGUGAGAUUGCUGACUCUUGUUCAUCAGGUGAUCCGAGGUAGCCCUGCAGGCGUCCGUAGGCCUUGGCGUCUUCUUUCUAUCUACCUUCCUAUUUCUUACAUG
RNAcentral lists this long non-coding RNA (5997 nucleotides) under Nicotiana tabacum (common tobacco). RNAcentral's name for it is "long non-coding RNA (NTAB_LNC006640)". The record is from RNAcentral. Lineage: Eukaryota; Viridiplantae; Streptophyta; Magnoliopsida; Solanales; Solanaceae.